Macaca mulatta (Rhesus monkey) is the source of this 2564-nucleotide non-coding RNA. The record is from RefSeq and is a predicted model, not a curated record. Lineage: Eukaryota; Metazoa; Chordata; Mammalia; Primates; Cercopithecidae.
UCUCCUGGAUAAUAUCCUAAAGAGUGUUUUUGAUACAUACUUUUAAAUAACCAGAUCUCGUGAGAAAUCACUCACUAUUGGGAGGACAGUGCCAAGCCAUUCAUGAGGGAUCCACGCCCAUGAUCCAAACACCUCCCACCAUGCUUUACCUUCAACACUGGGGAUUAUAGUUGACCAUGAUAUAUGGAGGGGACAAACAUACAAACUAUAUCAAAGGCAUAGCAUGGGUUCUGUGAAAGGAGGGUGAAAACACAAAGAUGACAUCGCCACUGACCUCAGGGAGUGCUCAGUAGACUGAGGGAGACAAGUACAUAUUUUCCUGAAGGAGGGCACUGGAGUGAUGGCGUGUUUAGAAUGUGAAAGUAGAGCAGUCACAGAGAGGCAGCCCAGCAGAGUGCUUGCUCAGGGACUUGGGCCAGCAACUCCCCACUGCAUGUGAUGUAUCUGAGGAAAGUCAUUAAAAUAGGCAAUGGUCACUUUCCAUCAAGUCCCUGGUGUGGUCCAUGGAGGCAGGAUUGUCAAUCUGAUUUCGGCAUUUCAGAGGCCUCUUAGGGUUUGGAUACAGAAGAAGACAACCAGCAAUGAUUAUGUAUUUCAGAGAUGUGCGUGAGCCCCAAUUUCUUGCCAGUUGGGAGGUCAGUGUUGAGGGCCUUACUAUCUUAAGGAAAUCCUUGACACAUAGGAUGCCAAUUUCUUUCUGGACAGAGAGUAUUUGGUUGGUUAAAGUUAAAAUCUGAAUUUUGUUUUGGGAUAUAUUCCAAAAAUAUUAGCUUUAUUCAAAUUUACUUUCACUUUAUCUUUCUGAAUUUUCAAGGUCCAAAAGCAUUGCUUAGUAAUUCUGUUUCUAAACUCACAUUGCAGCACUGGGCAUGAUCUGUCCAAGGCAGAGACCAUAAGAUAGUCUUGUCUGGAAAACAUACAAGUAGGUAUCUCAACAAAUGAUACUCAUAUAUUCUUGUUCUUAGGAGUAAAUCAUUGGCAGUGAGUAUGAUUUUUUUUUUUUAUGAAAGGAUAAAUACACACCCUCUAUUGAGGUCAGGUUUUGUGCCUGUACUUCUUCCGCCUACUGUAUCAUAGGAGAUUAGAAACCCAGCUGCUGGCUCGGGCUGCAGUUCUCUGAUGGCUCGCACACGGUGGACCAGCCCUGUUCUCCUAUGUGUUUCUCUGCUGCUGACCUGUGGAUUUGCUGAGGCAGGGAAGCUGCUGGUAGUGCCCAUGGAUGGGAGCCACUGGUUCACCAUGCAGUCGGUGGUGGAGAAGCUUAUCCUCAGGGGGCAUGAGGUGGUGGUAGUCAUGCCAGAGGUGAGUUGGCAACUGGGAAGAUCACUGAAUUGCACAGUGAAGACUUAUUCUACCUCAUACACUCUGGAGGAUCUGGACCGGGAAUUCAUGACUUUCGCCCAUGCUCAAUGGAAAGCACAAUUACGAAGUUUCUUUUCUCUAUUUCUGAGUUCAUCCAAUGGUUUUUUUGAUUUAUUUUUUUCGCAUUGCAGGAGUUUGUUUAAUGACCAAAAAUUGGUAGAAUACUUAAAGGAGAGUUCUUUUGAUGCGGUGUUUCUGGAUCCUUUUGAUGGCUGUGGCUUAAUUCUUGCCAAAUAUUUCUCCCUCCCCUCUGUGGUCUUUGCCAGGGGAAUAUUUUGCCACUAUCUUGAAGAAGGUGCACAGUGCCCUGCUCCUCUUUCCUACAUCCCCAGAAUUCUCUUAGGGUUCUCAGAUGCCAUGACUUUCAAGGAGAGAGUAUGGAACCAUGUCAUGCACUUGGAGGAACAUUUAUUUUGCAAGUAUUUUUUCAAAAGUGCCCUAGAAAUCGCCUCUGAAAUUCUCCAAACACCUGUCACGGCAUAUGAUCUCUACAGCCACACAUCAAUUUGGUUGUUGCGAACGGACUUUGUUUUGGACUAUCCCAAACCCGUGAUGCCCAACAUGGUCUUCAUUGGUGGUAUCAACUGCCAUCAGGGAAAGCCAGUGCCUAUGGUAAGUCAUCUCUCCUUUAGCACAUUAAGAAUAAUCUGGCUUUGUAAAUUAAAAAAAGAUUCCUUACUGAACUGUGAUUUGACAUUUUGGUUUGUUGCAUUUCAAAUUUCUUUCCAGUUUAACAAAUUAUUUUGUGCCAAUUCAUGUACUUGUCAGUUACCAAAUUUUAUAAAACUGCCCUUCUUGAAAGUGUGUAUAUAUAAUUUAAAAAUUAUACAUCAUAUUCAGCCUACAUUUUUGAGUACUAUGUUUAGAAAAGUACCAACAACCGCAGUAAGAAAUGGAACUUCUCUUUUUUGCAAAUUCUAUGUGACCCCUGAGAGCAAAUGCUCUUAGCAGUUUUGCAUACAUUCUUUUCAUUAAAAAAGUGUUUCAGUUGUGUAUAUAUAAUUUAAAAAUUAUAGGUCCUAUUCAGCCUACGUUUUUGAGUACUGUGUUUAGAAAAGCACCAAAAACCACAGUAAGAAAUGAAACUUCCCUUUAUUGCUAAUUUUUGUGACCCCUAGAGGAAAUGCUCUUAGCAGUUUUGUGUACAUUCUUUUCAUUUAAAAAAAAAAAGCAUUUUAGUUAUACGCAAUAUCUAAUGUAAA